AAGCUUCAGGAAACUGGAGUGUGCCUCUUGAGGAACCCGGUGACAGGUGCUGCAUGGCUGUCGUCAGCUCGUGUCGUGAGAUGUUGGGUUAAGUCCCGCAACGAGCGCAACCCUUGUCUUUAGUUGCCAUCAUUAAGUUGGGCACUCUAAAGAGACUGCCGGUGUCAAACCGGAGGAAGGUGGGGAUGACGUCAAGUCCUCAUGGCCUUUAUGACCAGGGCUACACACGUACUACAAUGGCAUAGACAAAGGGCAGCGACAUCGCGAGGUGAAGCGAAUCCCAUAAACUAUGUCUCAGUCCGGAUUGGAGUCUGCAACUCGACUCCAUGAAGUUGGAAUCGCUAGUAAUCGUAGAUCAGCAUGCUACGGUGAAUACGUUCCCGGGCCUUGUACACACCGCCCGUCACACCACGGGAGUUGGUUGUACCAGAAGCAGUUGAGCAAACUUUUCGGAGAUGCAGGCUGCCAAGGUAUGAUUGGUAACUGGGGUGAAGUCGUAACAAGGUA
This 507-nucleotide ribosomal RNA is filed under the name uncultured bacterium. RNAcentral describes it as "bacterial SSU rRNA". It matches the Rfam family "Bacterial small subunit ribosomal RNA", at positions 994 to 1498 of the family's 1533-position model. The record is from RNAcentral.